GAAAUGCGAUAAGUAAUGUGAAUUGCAGAAUUUAGUGAAUCAUCGAAUCUUUGAACGCACAUUGCACCCAUUGGUAAUCCCUUGGGUAUACCUGUUCGAGCGCCGUUUGUGUUCUAAGGCUCAGCCUUGCGUUGACGUUUUGCCCCUGGUAAAAUUUGGAGGGGGCUCGUCGAAACACAUCGGCGCCCGUCUCGGCCCCGAACGCAACGAAAUGCGAGAAAGGGUCAUUGAGAAUGGGCGGCCAGUCUUUUAUCGAAAGCAUGGCCUCGGAUCAGGUAGGGAUACCCGCUGAACUUAAGC
This 300-nucleotide unclassified non-coding RNA is filed under the name plant metagenome. RNAcentral's name for it is "partial contains internal transcribed spacer 2 and large subunit ribosomal RNA". The stretch from base 1 to 105 matches the Rfam family "5.8S ribosomal RNA", at positions 50 to 154 of the family's 154-position model. The record is from RNAcentral.